Molecule: RNA transcript, 2008 nt
Organism: Triticum aestivum (bread wheat)
Lineage: Eukaryota; Viridiplantae; Streptophyta; Magnoliopsida; Poales; Poaceae
Exons: 3
Source: RefSeq, a predicted model, not a curated record
UGUUCUUUCUCACCCAUGCGACUGAUCUUCUAUCUGCUGCUGCCGCGUGCCGUGCUUCUGGAUCUAGGCGAGCAGGGCGGCAUGAUCUUCUUGGUGGGUGUGGAGGAUGAGGAGAAUGGCAGUGAGGGAAGGAACAGCGAGGCUGGAGUUCCAGACGGUGCUGGCCAUGGUACCUGUCCCCAAUCUAGGUUGCCAAUAUGCAGCCUCCUUGAUUUAUGGUUUUUUAAACACACAUAUGCAGACCUGAGGAAAAAGAGAAGAGGGUGAAUCUUGAUGAAAAGUUUGAACAAAGUGAUCUCUCCCUCUCUCUUGAACACUACUAUCACGUUCAUAUGUUCUGCAUAAGGCUAUCUUAUUUGGUGUGCCAGAGAGUAUUUAUAGUUAGAAUAUUACAUUCUUCAUGUCUUAUAUAAAAUCUUCUUUGAACAAUGUUCUUUAAUUUCUAGAUUUGUUGCAGGUUCGAAGAUAUAAAUCUAAUUGAUAUAUUGUCGAUGGGGAUUAAGUACUGUAAUGAUAUACCUGAGAAUUUUGAUGAUAUAUCUGCUACCAGGUUGAAUAUUGACCACAAAUUAAUUUUUGUGUGUGCUUCUGCUCAUUUAAGUGCAUAAUUUGGUCACAAACCUCCUGUUGUAGCUACGAAGUUCAUUGUGUGAUGCCUACAAGUUAUUGGUCUUAUUUUUGGUGUAAAGCUGCAGGCCGAGUUCAGAUUGUUCUUUUGACAGAAAUGGAACAGGUAAUGCUACAGCCUAAGCAUUGUAUAGUAUAAAUUCAAAGGUCAUGUAAUAUUUUACUUAGGUUCAUUCAAAUAUCUGGAAUUGACAUGCAUAUGUUUCUUGUAUGUGCACAGAUUGUUGGUUGUAUCUUAAUAUGAGUUCUUUAUGUUGCUUGCCUAAAUUCAGAAGUGAACUUUUGCUGUAUAUUUGGUCGAUGUGUGUCCUGUAAACCGUAAACUUACUAGGUGUACAUGUACAUGCGUAUUUGUUACACUAUUAUCAUAUAUAACACUUCCAGAUUAGAAUAUACAGAUAUCUCCUUUUUACAUAAAUAAUCGUGAUUGUUCUCAUACAAUUUGGCAUUUCAAGAAUAUCGCAGCCACACAAGCUAAAGGUUCAGGAAGUUUAGGGAAAGAAAAGUUCUUAUUGACAAAGAUGGUGGUGAGUUUUAUCUGGUAUCACUUUUUGACAUGGACAUGUACCAUAUGAUUGUUGAGUUUCAUCUGAUUUCACUUUUUGACAUGGCCAUAUACCAUGGGGUGUAGUAUUUAUGAAGAGUGGCUUGGAAAUUGCAAGUAGAUGGUUGCUCUAGCCGUAUAGCUUAUUUAAUUAGGAGUGAGAUGCUUGCUAAGAUGAAUGGUGUUUCUGUAAGGGCAGACAUAUUCCUAGCACUGGAUUAUGCACAUGUAUAUAUGGAUACUUCUAUACGAAUGCAGCUCACACUUACCACGGUCAGAAGAGUCUUGCAUGGAUAUAUCAUGUGAUGUGACACUGGAAUAAUUGGCCUGGAGUUCACCAGCGUGACCGAGCGCAGUGCAACAGAGCUGUUCAACACGUGUUGGCACAUGACUACCAUGGAAGAGGAUCUCGCUGGAACGCUGCCGUUUCUUCAGUUUGGAAUUUUGUUAACAAUUUUGUAACCUUGAUUGCGCUGAGCAUAAGCAGGAUCUACGCAUUAUUCUGUUGACUUUGCUCACUCCCGAAAAGAAGAGGACUAUGGACCUGAGUGGGAAUGGAGGCAGGAUAUUCUUCUGGAUGGCUAUGCUGAGGUGGUGGUUGGUCGGAUCCAUGGUGUAGGCAAAGUUGGUCAGCAUGGUGGAGUUGUGCUGUGGGGAAGACCCUGGAUUAGAUAUCUGCGCGGCUAUCUGCGUGCUGGGUGGAUCAGUGUAGCCCACCUCGGGAUGGAGGCAAGCGGCGCUUCACUGGUGCCUCGCCAUGCCACAACAGUGGCCUUCACAAUGUUUAAUCAUAAGACCACUAUUUUUGUGUCUAUAUGCAGUGUUCACUUCGUCUAU